Molecule: ribosomal RNA, 530 nt
Filed under: uncultured bacterium
Lineage: Bacteria
Description: bacterial SSU rRNA
Rfam family: Bacterial small subunit ribosomal RNA
Source: RNAcentral
AGUCAAUAGAUACCUGGGUAGUCCACGCCGUAAACGAUGUCGACUUGGAGGUUGUGCCCUUGAGGCGUGGCUUCCGGAGCUAAACGCGUUAAGUCGACCGCCUGGGGAGUACGGCCGCAAGGUUAAAACUCAAAUGAAUUGACGGGGGCCCGCACAAGCGGUGGAGCAUGUGGUUUAAUUCGAUGCAACGCGAAGAACCUUACCUACUCUUGACAUCCAGAGAACUUAGCAGAGAUGCUUUGGUGCCUUCGGGAACUCUGAGACAGGUGCUGCAUGGCUGUCGUCAGCUCGUGUUGUGAAAUGUUGGGUUAAGUCCCGCAACGAGCGCAACCCUUAUCCUUUGUUGCCAGCGGUUAGGCCGGGAACUCAAAGGAGACUGCCAGUGAUAAACUGGAGGAAGGUGGGGAUGACGUCAAGUCAUCAUGGCCCUUACGAGUAGGGCUACACACGUGCUACAAUGGCGCAUACAAAGAGAAGCGACCUCGCGAGAGCAAGCGGACCUCAUAAAGUGCGUCGUAGUCCGGAUUGGA